CAGAAGGCUGGCAGGGGAGUGGGAGGUUUGUGUCUUGGCCCCAAAAUCUUGUCCUGGUGAAAUGAUUGAUGCAGUGACUGCUGCACCAACACUACACCUGAGACAGAGUCUGUAUCCCUUUCCCCAUCACCUAAUUGGUCAUGUGGGAGCAGGAAAGCUUCCUACCAGAGUUCUCUUGAGACUAAAUUAUGGCAACACUUACCCAAGAGUCUUCUAAUUCAGAUAUCGAAGUCUACCUUGCACACCAACCCGAGCCAACCCAGGCAACCCAGUAAAAUAAAACCAGCCCAAACUUCUUUUAUGUACAGUCACAGCCUUUGGUCCUCAACUUGUAAAACUGAAACCAUUAACUCAGCAUCUGUCUUCCCCUUAGGCCAUCAUUCCCUGCCUAUCACAUCUAUCCAAGAAACGUAUUCCAGUGCUCAUCCUUUAAUCCAGUCUGAAAACUGUCCAGCCCAAGGCUGCUCCCCUCUCUUACUGGCAACAUUCUCCCUCCAACAGCUUCAGCUCCAAUGGUGAACACAUUUUAGCCACAUAACUUCUCAGAGUGGCAAAAAAGGCCGGGGUCCUUUCCAGAUCCCCAGAUUUGAAAAUAUGAAAGUCUGAGAAUCAAACAGACCAGCCUGACACAAGCCUACAUUUUGCUUCCCUAAAUUGUGGUAUUCAAACAAGGACAAGAAAGAUGAGUUGUUGGUUACAAGUACAGAUGAAUAGAAAUAGAAUCAACACACAAACAAACAAUUUUCUGACUGAAGUAAAAAGCCAACUCUCUUCAAUGGAGCCAAGAUUUCACUUGUAUGGUAUAGCUCAAGAAAGUCUCUUAGAUUUAAGCUAUGAUCAGAACCCAAGGUGAAGUAUCACUCCAGUAACUGAAACACAGACAAGGAUGAUGCUGUAGAAGAGGUUGGUUUUAUUAUAAGAACUUGAGAAAUCCAUUUUUUUAUCUCAAAAAUGUCAAAGAAUGCCAAGAUAUGGUGUAAUUUCACGUCACUCAGCUCUGUUUCAAACAGUUUUGCCAUCCUAUUUCCAAGCAGCUUUCUUGUCAUUAAACACAUUUACGUGGUGUCUCUAGAUUGUUUUCUUCAGCAAAUUCACUGCUCAAAUUUGCCAGGCACACCGAGCAAAGCAACAGGGGAGUUGGGCUCCCAAUGGGGAGCAGUUUAUAACACUAGCAGACAAUUCAUGUCAGUCCUGAGUCUGAUGAGUCCCAUUGCCCUUCUUGGAGGUAGCUCAUUUCUACCAGUUCAGAGUUUUAAGGAGAUAUGUAUGUUUACUUAAAGGAAGGGGACCAAGAGGAAAUUGAUAGGGCAGAUGAAGAAAACACUGAAGGACUUUUGUGAUCUGCUUUCCCAGACAAUGAGCUUUUCUACUCAGCACAGAAGGAAAUCCCCAUUGGAAAGCCUGCUAGAUGCACUGUCCUGUCACUGAAUGGAGUGGAAAAUCUCAGAAAUUAAAAAGCAAAAGAGCGGAGCUGGAAAUAAAAGGAGGACGUUGUAGCCUGAAAGUGAAACUCUCUAUUUGAAUACACUCUGGAGAAGUAGAAUAAGUGUUUCCUAAUUAACUUGCAUUUCAGUUGGCAUAUUUAUGGCUGUCACUGCACAAGUAGACCAAUAUAUGAAGCAUUUUACUAAAGGGUCUCCAGAGAAAAGCAUCCAAACCUGCCAGCAACCAUGUUUCAGAGAUUUAACCUCUACAGCCGUAAUGGUUCAGUUAAAGUUCUCUCUCCAUGCAUGCAGAUUACAUCAUCUUACUGAGCAGAACGCAUGCUUGACUUUGGUAAAUACCUUCUCUAUUUAACAUGCAACGUUUUUAUUUGUGGUCAUGGUUUAUUUGGUUUGCUCAUAAAAGUUACCAAGUUAUGCUUAUGAAAGUUACCAAGUUAAAUAAAGGUAUGGG
Gallus gallus (chicken) is the source of this 1896-nucleotide long non-coding RNA. Lineage: Eukaryota; Metazoa; Chordata; Aves; Galliformes; Phasianidae. The record is from Ensembl.